AACCUACCUUUUACAGGAGGAGAGCGCAGAGAAAUUUGGAUUAAUACUCCAUAGUACUAAUGAAUCACCUGGUUUAUUAGUUAAAACUCCGGUGGUAAAAGAUGGGCAUGCGUGUCAUUAGCUAGUUGGUAAGGUAACGGCUUACCAAGGCGAAGAUGACUAGGGGUUCUGAGAGGAAGAUCCCCCACACUGGUACUGAGACACGGACCAGACUCCUACGGGAGGCAGCAGUGAGGAAUAUUCGGUCAAUGGGUGAGAGCCUGAACCAGCCAUGCCGCGUGAAGGAAGACUGCCCUAUGGGUUGUAAACUUCUUUUCUGCAGGAAGAAAUCACUCUACUUGUAGGGUGUUGCCGGUACUGCAGGAAUAAGCAUCGGCUAACUCCGUGCCAGCAGCCGCGGUAAUACGGAGGAUGCAAGCGUUAUCCGGAUUUAUUGGGUUUAAAGGGUGCGUAGGCGGGCUUGUAAGUCAGUGGUGAAAUGCUGUGGCUUAACCAUAGAAUUGCCAUUGAAACUGCAAGUCUUGAGUACAGUUGAGGUGGGCGGAAUGAGUAAUGUAGCGGUGAAAUGCAUAGAUCUUACUCAGAACUCCGAUUGCGUAGGCAGCUUGCUAAACUGUAACUGACGCUGACGCACGAAAGCGUGGGGAGCGAACAGGAUUAGAUACCCUGGUAGUCCACGCUGUAAACGAUGAGCACUGGUUGUUGGCAAUACACCGUCAGCGACUGAGCGAAAGUAUUAAGUGCUCCACCUGGGGAGUACGUCGGCAACGAUGAAACUCAUAAGGAAUUGACGGGGGCCCGCACAAGCGGAGGAACAUGUGGUUUAAUUCGAUGAUACGCGAGGAACCUUACCUGGGCUUAAAUGUAGAGUGCAUUGCUUGGAAACAGGCAUUUUCUUCGGAACUCUUUACAAGGUGCUGCAUGGUUGUCGUCAGCUCGUGCCGUGAGGUGUCGGGUUAAGUCCCAUAACGAGCGCAACCCCUAUUGUUAGUUACCAGCACGUAAUGGUGGGGACUCUAGCAAGACUGCCGGUCUCAACCGUGAGGAAGGUGGGGAUGACGUCAAAUCAGCACGGCCCUUAUGUCCAGGGCUACACACGUGUUACAAUGGCAAGUACAAAGAGCAGCCACCUGACGACAGGGCGCUAAUCUCANAAGCUUGCCUCAGUUCGGAUCGAAGUCUGCAACUCGACUUCGUGAAGUAUGGAUUCGCCAGUAAUCGCGCAUCACCCAUGGCGCGGUGAUACGUUCCCGGGCCUGUACACACCGCCCGUCAAGCCAU
This 1281-nucleotide ribosomal RNA is filed under the name uncultured organism. RNAcentral's name for it is "bacterial SSU rRNA". It matches the Rfam family "Bacterial small subunit ribosomal RNA", at positions 123 to 1405 of the family's 1533-position model. The record is from RNAcentral.